This 592-nucleotide ribosomal RNA is filed under the name uncultured bacterium. Its description in RNAcentral is "bacterial SSU rRNA". It matches the Rfam family "Bacterial small subunit ribosomal RNA", at positions 8 to 563 of the family's 1533-position model. The record is from RNAcentral.
AGAGUUUGAUCAUGGCUCAGGAUAAACGCUGGCGGCGCACAUAAGACAUGCAAGUCGAACGGAAGUCGUUAUGAUGAUUUCAACACUGACAGAGAACUUGUUCAAAGAAAGUAGAGAUUGACUUAUAACAAUGGCUUUAGUGGCGGACUGGUGAGUAACACGUGAGCAACCUGCCUAUCAGAGGGGAAUAACAGUGAGAAAUCAUUGCUAAUACCGCAUAUGCCAUAAAUAUCACAUGAUGAAAGUGGGAAAGGAGUAAUCCGCUGAUAGAUGGGCUCGCGUCUGAUUAGAUAGUUGGUGGGGUAACGGCCUACCAAGUCGACGAUCAGUAGCCGGACUGAGAGGUUGAACGGCCACAUUGGGACUGAGAUACGGCCCAGACUCCUACGGGAGGCAGCAGUCGGGAAUAUUGCGCAAUGGAGGAAACUCUGACGCAGUGACGCCGCGUAUAGGAAGAAGGUUUUCGGAUUGUAAACUAUUGUCGUUAGGGAAGAUACAAGACAGUACCUAAGGAGGAAGCUCCGGCUAACUACGUGCCAGCAGCCGCGGUAAUACGUAGGGAGCAAGCGUUAUCCGGAUUUUUGGGGUGUAA